This 985-nucleotide long non-coding RNA is filed under the name Brachypodium distachyon (stiff brome). RNAcentral's name for it is "long non-coding RNA (BDIS_LNC004179)". The record is from RNAcentral. Lineage: Eukaryota; Viridiplantae; Streptophyta; Magnoliopsida; Poales; Poaceae.
AUCGAGAGAUCCUCACUGAUCAUCUAGACAACGCCAUGGCUCGAUAAUCCUAUUGACGAAGACGAGGAGGUCUGGGAGGGCCAUCAAAGCUUCUACGGCGCACAAAAGCCCGGUUCCUGACGGGUUCGCCGAUGCUUGCGAUUUGCCAAGGACAAUGUCAUUGUUUUCUUCAAGCAUGUUCACGACCUUGCAAUUUUGUGCCAAGGACUAUAGGCCAAUAAAUCUUAUCGACUCGCUCGCAAAGCUUCUAUACAAGGUCUUGACUUUGCAACUGCGCCCAAUCCUAGAUGCAGAGGUCAAUUUGGACAUAAUUUUUUACGAAUCUAGCAUCUUUAUUCUAUAGAAAUCAUUAGGGUUAAAAUCUUGUUAAAAAAUCUCUAAAAAUCCAAACCAAAUGAGCGCUAAGGGCAUCUUCAACAAGGUACCAGUACUAAAAAAUUUCUCUUCUUUUUCCAAUGUGUUUCAUUUUUUCUUAUUCAUUUCUUUUUUUAUAGACCAACAUGUCAUCUUCUUUGUUGUCUUGGUAUCCGUGUAGUACCUGUUACUUCUUCAAAUAACCAUUACUUGGUUGUGGCAUUCCUCUCUCAUCCACAUUGGUCACUAAUUUUUUGGUACCCGUGUAGUACCCCUCGUUGAGGAUGCCCUAAUAGUUUUUGGACAAGCUAGCUCUGUCAGUGUGGUCAAGAUAUGUUUUGAGAAAAUCGACAAGGGAGGACAUGAUGCUCUUGUUGUGUUGGGCCCUAAUUUGGGCUGAAUCCACGGUCUUGCAACCAGGUCUAAACCAUGACAAAAAUUAUUGAACGGAGGGUCUAUAUAAUAAUAUCUAUAAUACAAAAUAAAUAUAUAUCAUUAUGACUUUAAAAUUAUAAAACUUUCUAGAAUUUAAUUAAAUUUUAAUUUUUUUGAACUUAGAACAUAACCCGAUGAUAUUAUAAAUCUUAUAAACACACAAGGUGACGAGUAGAAAAAUAGAACAACGGGUCAA